UAAGCGAUCUAUUUAAUUACAAAUUCUGAAGAGAAUUAAAACACUUAACGCUUAACUCAGUGGGGUUAAAUGGUAGCUAGACGAGUUUUUCUAGUGGAAACUAGGAGCGAGUGAAACUCAACUAGACAGUGUAUUGGGAAGAUAUUAAGAGUGUAUAAGGAUACUAAGAGUGGUGAAGAAUACUGCAUAACCAAGAACGGGGUAAACUCGGUUUUAGUCAGAGUCACGGGGGUUACUUGGAUUGACUAGGUGAUACCAGGAAUAGUGAGAAUACUCAGUUGUAAUCUUAUUGAAUAUUGUAAUGGAACUCUAAGAGGUUUUAGAGGAGAUCUGGACGUAACUCGGUGGAGUAAACCAGUAUAAAAUUACCCGUGUUUAUUAUUUCAAUUCUGCUAAAUGCUUUUC
RNAcentral lists this long non-coding RNA (405 nucleotides) under Vigna radiata. Its description in RNAcentral is "long non-coding RNA (VRAD_LNC005457)". The record is from RNAcentral. Lineage: Eukaryota; Viridiplantae; Streptophyta; Magnoliopsida; Fabales; Fabaceae.